GCCGGGCGCGGUGGCUCACGCCUGUAAUCCCAGCACUUUGGGAGGCCGAGGCGGGCGGAUCACAAGGUCAGGAGAUCGAGACCAUGGUGAAACCCCNGGGGUUUCACCAUGGUCUCGAUCUCCUGACCUUGUGAUCCGCCCGCCUCGG
This 148-nucleotide signal recognition particle RNA is filed under the name Chlorocebus sabaeus (green monkey). RNAcentral describes it as "Metazoan signal recognition particle RNA". The stretch from base 47 to 147 matches the Rfam family "MIR1846 microRNA precursor family", at positions 1 to 86 of the family's 110-position model. Lineage: Eukaryota; Metazoa; Chordata; Mammalia; Primates; Cercopithecidae. The record is from Rfam by way of RNAcentral.